AACGAACGCUGGCGGCAGGCCUAACACAUGCAAGUCGAACGGACGUAGCAAUACGCUAGUGGCGCACGGGAGAGUAACGCGUGGGAACCUACCUUUUGGUUCGGGAUAACAUCGGGAAACCGGUGCGAACACCGGAUAAGCCCUUCGGGGGAAAGAUGUAUUGCCGAAAGAUGGGCCCGCGUUGGAUUAGCUAGUUGGUGAGGUAAUGGCUCACCAAGGCAACGAUCCAUAGCUGGUCUGAGAGGAUGAUCAGCCUCACUGGGACUGAGACACGGCCCAGACUCCUACGGGAGGCAGCAGUGGGGAAUAUUGGACAAUGGGGGAAACCCUGAUCCAGCCAUGCCGCGUGAAUGAUGAAGGCCUUCGGGUUGUAAAGUUCUUUUGGUGGGGACGAUGAUGACGGUACCCACAGAAUAAGCUCCGGCUAACUUCGUGCCAGCAGCCGCAGUAA
This 451-nucleotide ribosomal RNA is filed under the name uncultured bacterium. RNAcentral describes it as "partial 16S ribosomal RNA". It matches the Rfam family "Bacterial small subunit ribosomal RNA", at positions 29 to 523 of the family's 1533-position model. The record is from RNAcentral.